This 320-nucleotide long non-coding RNA is filed under the name Elaeis guineensis (African oil palm). RNAcentral describes it as "long non-coding RNA (EGUI_LNC004676)". Lineage: Eukaryota; Viridiplantae; Streptophyta; Magnoliopsida; Arecales; Arecaceae. The record is from RNAcentral.
GUCUGAUCUCAUAGUUAGUAGAAUGACAAAUAAUGAGGAUGUGGAGAAGGUCUAUAAGUUGAUGGGGGAUGCUAAUAUUUCGUUGUAUCUCGGAUGAGAAAAGAUGAUAAAACUUGAGUUCUUAAUCCGGUUGUAUCACGCGAAAUGCUCUAAUGGAUUCAAUAAUAAUGGAGUGAACUGUAUACUAAAACUUUUGGGAGAUAUUCUUCCAGACAAUGCACAAAUCUCAAAGAAUACUUAUGAGACAUCGAAGAUUAUUGAGCAGUUGGACUUUACUUACAACAAGAUACAUGCAUGCCCUAAUGAUUGCAUGCUCUAUU